AUCAUAUCAGGAAUGGAAAAGCCUUUUAUAUUUCAAGUGUACAACAUACUAAGAUUCAACUCAAUGUCAUACUGCAACACAACAUAGAACUGAUGAUACAUUGAACACACGAAACAUAGGGAUUAAGAAAUAAUUGAAUCCAUAUAUCUCCAGAAAGCUAACAAACCACAUUGAGCAAACAGCAGCUCUUUACUUCUUGGUGUCUUUAGUUCCAGCAUUGCUACCUCCUGCAUCUUUUGCCGCCUUCUUUGCAGCCUUCUCUUGCAGAGCUUUUGCAUCCCUAUAUUCAACAAACAUAUAAAAUAACACUCAACAUCCAAUAAUAAACAGUUAAAUACAUAAAAACCUAAUCUUUGAAAAAAAAAUAUAUGUACCUUUCACGACGCUGCUCAGGAGUCAAACCAUCAUCUUUUCCCUUACUAUUGCCUUUACCACUCCGAGCUUGAGCUCUUUCCCGAUCUUUUUCCCUCUGAUUUCCCCGUUCAAUUCAGUCAUGGUAACACAAAUGUAAAAUUCCAAAAACAAACCAUAAAACUAAAAGCAAAAAGUAAAUCUAACUAAAAUUUAAUGUACCCACAAAAUGCCACACAAAAAAGUUACCAAGAAAACACCAUAAUACUCAAAAAGAGAAAUAGAUCUCAUCCAAUUUGAAGUACCCCGCAAAAUUAAACGCAAAAAAAAGAGGUAAAUCAUGAUCAUGAAAAGGUUAUUGACAAUAAACAAUUAAAUUUUGCUAAUAUACAAAACACAUUUAAACAAAAAGGAAAAGAUAAAUCUAAUUAGAUUUCACAAAAUCUCAUUUAAUUUGAAGUGCCCACAAAAAUACACACAAAAAAGGUACAAUCUUUUUACAAUAUAAAAUAAAAUAAGCAAAAACUAUAGGACAAACAAUAUUUCAAAAAACAAACACCAUAAAACACAACAUUAAACAUAAAUUUCAACAAAUUUCAAAUACCCACAAAACUUAAACACCAAAAGCACCAAACUUUGAGGAAAAACUAACAAAUUUACCAUAAAAACAAUCAGAAAUUGAAACCCAAUUCAAGAAUAUGCCCAAUAUGUAAUAAAUAAUCAUAUAAAAUAAAAAUAUUCAUGACUUUUUAAGGAUAUGAGUCAUUGUAAAGUAGCUGAAUUGUGACGCUUUGAGGAGAAAAUCUGCACCGAAAGAAAGGCGAAGAAAGAGAAAAGGUCAAACGAAUAGAUGAAAUAAAAAGUAGGAGGGGGCGAUUUAUAAUAAUGGAGAAAUUAAGGGGUAAUAUUUCAAUUAGUUGGUUUUGACUUUUUUUUAAUCAGAAUACUUUUCCUAAUGCA
This 1311-nucleotide long non-coding RNA is filed under the name Nicotiana benthamiana. RNAcentral's name for it is "long non-coding RNA (NBEN_LNC028000)". Lineage: Eukaryota; Viridiplantae; Streptophyta; Magnoliopsida; Solanales; Solanaceae. The record is from RNAcentral.